AAUCCUGGGUUUGCACCCCUGAUAUUUCUCGGCGCGUAAUAAAGCCUACAAGACGCUAGCGUUUUAAUCCUUUCUUUCUGUUGUAAUGGUGAUUACUGAAAAAUGCAACCUAGCCAUUUAAUCAUUCCAUCUUGCUCGUUUUCUGGGAAGGGGGGGGGCAGUAAAUAGUCUGCUAUACCCGCCUCUUUCCCUGAAGAAAUUUGUGCGCCAGAUAUUUAGAAAGCUGCAAACAUCUCUCACCUCCUAUUAAAAUAUCCUUGCUGUGGACUUCCCCUCAGCCGCCCGGUAGCUAUUCAGGUAUGCGCGCACGGAGAAAUAUUUCGGUGGGAAUAGGCCAACUGACGCUGGGUGCGGAUCUGGCCCUGAAAGAUUAAAAUGGCCUAUUUCAGCAAGGACCACCUACUUUACAGACAUAACAAUGGGACUGUUUGUAUGACUAAGGGAUCAACUCUGCUGUCAGGUCAGAUCUGGACCAAAAUCACAAGCAAGCAAGACUUAACAAUGCCUCUGAAUGUUCACUGCAGAAAAGAAAAGAAAAAGUAACACACAGAACCAAUCAAAGGGGGGAAAGGGAUACGAAAUACCUCCUGAAUCUUCUAGCACUGGUCAGAUAGUUACACCAGGAUGACUGCUAGUGAUGGACAGAUCCUUAUUUCAGGCAACAGAGCUAAAUGAAGGGGGCCUGGCAGCCCAGGGCUCCCCGGCAGCUGCACCCGAGUGAGAUGAAAUCCGCGGCAGCGCGAGCCGGGCAGGCAGGCCGGCCUCAUCAGAAGUCCCCCCGUCUUUGAUCAGCUCCACCAGGCUGAGCAGGGAGCCCGUUUGCAGGGCCAGCCGAGGGAACGCCGCGUAAUUAGAUUGACUGGCUUCAUUAGGGGGAGAGUUGGCUGCUAAAUAGAAGCUGCCGCGUCUCCGGGGCGCUGGGAUGGGGAGCGGCGGGCUCGCAGGGGGUCCCCGGCACAAAGCGCGCCCCGCAUCCCGGGCGAGCCGGCAGCCCCCGGGCCUUUCUUCUCGCUUCCUUUGCGGCCAGGCAGGGGCAGGGGCAGGGGCCGCUUGCAAAGUUAUUUCUCUGACUUCAUUAGCGAGGCGGCUCUUCCCCCACGCCCAGGUAAUGCAAUUAGCCAAGAAACCCCGGAAUGCUCCGCUCCGCUGCGCCGAGAGGUCACUCCCGGGCGGGUAUCUGCGGCUGGAGCAAUCCGGCCUGUCUGGCUCCCCACGGGGACCGGAGAGCGGUACGGGCCCGCAGACAGAGCGAAAUACCGGUAGUGAGGAUGAAGAGUGACCGCGCUGGCCCUGGGUACAAACACACCUGGACACAACCAGCCACCUGUACAGCACACCCCUGUGUGCGUCUCCAGCUAGCUGGGUGUAGGUCAGAAGGAUCAAUAGGUCUAUAAAUAGGUACGUAGAUGUGGGUGUAGGGUGUGUCUAGAUCGAUCUACACACAGCUACAGCUGUACAGAUACACGUGUGUGUGCCCGUCUAUCUCGCCGUGUGCUGCGAAGUGUGUUCUAUAGAUAUUCUAUAGACAUUUAUCCUUUUCUCUGUUGGGUGUGUGGAUGUGGGUGAACGGUUUGUGUAGCUCGCGGGGCGCACACACGUGUGUAUCUCUAUGUCUGCACCUCUCUCUCUAACACAAUACUAAUGAAAUAGGAUACACUCUGUUGUACAGCUCUCUCGCUCUCUCUCUGUGUGUGAGCGAUCCUAAACUGGCAAGUAGUGUCUUAUUAUCAACGCUCAGGAGAGGAAAGCUCAACCCCCGUUGAAUCAGCCAUGAACUGAAUGGGAAGGUUGGGAUUGGGUUUUUUGUUUUUAAAUGCACAAAUAAUUUUACACGUAGUGACCAGGAGACAGGCCAGAACGAAGGGCCCAGACACCAACUCCUGGUCUUGACUCACUAUGCCCACAUUUCCGGUGUUAUCCUUUCCUCCUCCGCCCAGGUAAGACAAGCUACAACCAGGAUCUGUGCAUCUGUCUCUCUUUCGAGCUCUGCUUGGACGGCUGCGCGGGGCGGUGCUGCCAGUGUACCCCCAAAACAGAGCACCGCUCCUGUUUGACUCUUGUCUACACGCAAAACGGGGCUUGGCGUGGAGGUGAGCCGCCGGCGCGGCAGGGAUCGCGUGGCAGAGGGAACGAGGACCAGGCUGGCGAGAAUCCCCAGCGCAGUGUGCUCAUUUCCCGGGAAGUACUCGGAAUCACUUUACAAACUCAUAUUUUGAGCUCAUAAGAGGCGGCCAGCUGCAGGCGCUCAGGGAGCGCCACGGACACGAGUUAGUGGAUCGAUGCUUUGUCGGGGGCACGUUGCACCGCUUGUGAAAUGCAAAUCCCAGAAUUCCGAAUUCAGCUGCACCCCCAACGAGCGUGUGCCCCCAACGGCUGCUCCCCCCGUGGAAUGCUUUGCACACCUGCGUGUACUGUCUUCCUUCCCUUGUUCAUUUCUGGCCAGCGGUAAGGGCUGCUGCGUGCAGAGCCUUAUUGUGAGUUUGACACCGCUCAUGCCUUUGAUUCCUCCUCGCCCUCCUGUGUGUUUGGGGACGGGCCGGGGGGUUUUUUUAUGUUUACAAAUACAGGAUUGGGCAUCAAAAGGGGCUGCAGUGAACGACGCUCCCCGAGAAUGUCGAAGUAUCCAGCCCCACCAAGCUAACCGCAAGGCCGCAAUUGGCUGACCCCGUGCUAGCAAUUCCAGUCCUCAAUUAAAUAACUAUAUGAAGGACUUCUGAGUCGGAGUGGAUCUAGAAGAACAAUGCCUGCGAAGUCUUCCUUUCAUCCCUGCGAGUGAGACAGGGUCCACGCUAAGAAGGGCGGGGGGGGGCAAGAAAAUGUAAUUACUUGGGCGACGCUUUUCUUUUUUAAAACAAGGUUAUUAUUCCUACUUCGGAAUGCAGAGUCGACUGUCCUUGGUCCCUAAACUGCAUUACGUUAAAGGUCAGCCGCGUGUCACACACAAUCUACAGUUACUAAUUUAACGGCAAGGCACUGUAAUAAAAAUCCCCGAUCCUUCGCGGUGUCUUCAGCUCGGAAUUUUGCAUUUCUCUUGGCUUUUAAAUAACCACCACAAUACCUUUUGUGCACAGGAGAACCAAUUUUCGUGUGACUCCCCCUCAUUAGUCACCUGUUUGUCUCCUCUCUAGAAUCUCCUGCGGGGGAAAAAUCACACAGGACUUCAAUGGGGCUAUUUACAAAACACGAGGCUCUCAAUGAGGCUUUGUUGGAAGGGAAGUGUGAAUAGUGUCCUUUGGAUCUAGGCAAACUCUCUCCCGGGCCUGCUGUGAGGAGCCAUUGUUUGUGGCUGUUAAUAAAUGUGCAUUAGCAGCGCCUCACUCUACAAACCCACUGGUGUGGAGAUUUCGCCUGCCUAAUACAUAUUGUUCUUGAGGAACAACUGUUUCAUCUCAGUCGAGGUCCAACCUCUGGCUAGCAAACCACUGGCCAUGUCUUUCUGGGAUCACACUGCAAACUACUAGCCCAUAGCCACUCUUCAAACCACCUGGUGAAGAUCACAAUGCUAAAUGCAGUGUCUAAUUCAUAAAUUAUAACAGUUCAACAACAACAACCCAUCCUCACUAUCCCUAAGACACAUGAACCUCUUUGGUGAGCUAGAGAAGAUUUCCGGUCUCUGGUUUAGGGCAGGGAUUCCCAACUGAUCCAAAGUCCAUCCAAGUCAAUGGAAAGACGAUCUAGCUUGGAUUAGGUCCCCAGCUACCAGGUUUUGAAACCAGUGACUGAUUUCAUAGGCAUAUCCGUGGGAGGUGGCCCUGUCAACCUUCCCCCAUUUGGCCAGAGCCCUAGGUGUGCACAUUGGUUUGAAAAAAUAAAUAAAUAAAAUGAAGUCCAUGUUGUCUAAGCAGAUUCCACAUGUCCAGCCCUACUGGUGCUGUCAGCCCAUCCCAUAGGACACUGGGACAGAGAACCCUCCAAAUUCAUUAGUCUGAAGAACCACCUGCUGACUAAUUGCUCCCUCAAAAGCUACAAUUAUAUUUGUCCAGCAAGUGCUUUUAUGUGGAUACAUCUUGGACCAACGGUUUUACACACACCAAAAUUCCUUUCAUCUCCACCAGUUUCAUCUCCACUACCAUGACUGGAUAGUUUGGGAAUUUUUUUUUUUGUCAGUAAUCAUAAUUUAAUCACAUAAAACUCCAAGCCUUAAACAUUCAACUAUCUGCGCUGCUUAUCAUAUUUUUAAACAUAUCUCAGUCGGCUCUAAUUUUUAUAUGCUGAAAUCAUUCAUGCAUUUAAAAUUAUUAGACAGAUAAUCACUUCCUUGAAAUAAUUUCAGCACUCAUCUAUAAUAAAAAAGAUUUCUUUCAAAGGACCCUUAGUUAAAUGGGCUCAGUGCUACUUUCUGUAUCAUGUAGGUCAAUUUAAUUCUGCUCUAUACUCUCUAUACAGCUAAACAAUUGCUUUUCAUAAACUGGAGAGCACAGUGAAUGCAGCCUGUAAUAUCCAUCCAGAGAUGGCCUUGAACACUUUCAUUAAUAAAAGCUUGACAUCUGAAAUUCCACUUCUUUAUUCGUCCCUUAUCAAAGAGUUAGUCAAGAUUUCAGAAAAUUAAUGUCAUAUUAAUAAAUACUAAUAAUGGGGGGGGACCUAAGAAUGUCAGGUACAUCAUCCAUUUACCUUAAUACAGCUACACACGUACAAUGCAUGAACAGCAUUUCUAAGACAACAAUCUUAAAAGCUCAAGAAUAUCAUUCUUGGAAAGAUGCUGUUUGUAACUCUAGGUUUGUAGAUGCCAAAUCAUGGCUCUGAUUCUCCAAAUACUUACACAUGGACCUAGCUUUACUCAUGUGAGUAAACAAGCUGGUGUAUGCCUGUGUGUAAAGUUAAGAGUGGCUAAGCUGCCAGUGUGCUGAGACCACAGCCUAUCAUGGUGGCCAGUCCUGUCUCACUGUUUCAUUGUACUCCUCCAUCCGUCUGUCUGUCUCCAUCUGUUAUCUCUUGUCUUGUACUUAGGUUGUGUAAGCCCCUUGGGGUAGUGAGUAUCUUUUGUUCUAUGUUUGUACAGCUCCUAGCACAAUGGGGUCCUGAUCCGCGACUAGGGCUUGGAGGUGCUACCCCAAUACAAAGAAUAACGUGUGUAAGUUUUUGCAGGAUUGGGGCCUACCUGACUACACUCCAGAAGAGCAUCCUGUAAGAGACUAACCACCCUCAACUUCCACUGGCUUCAAUGAGAAGUUAAGAAUCUUGCAGUUCCGAGACAGUUACUGUUACACUCCCAGACAGGGUGGCACAAUAGAAUGAGGUAAUUAAGUCUCUCCUACCACAGAACGGGGCACCCACAAAGACACGUACAUGUGGGUUCGUUUGUCUUCUGACCUGCACGCACACCAGUCACUUCUGCUCCUCAGAUUUAAAGCAGCUGUUCUCCAUGGAUAUUGCACAAGUUUUGGAGACCGAAUUCCAGGCCCUUGGCUUCCCAGGCUUGUGAGUUAAUGGUGUUAACUGAAUAAAGUCCAGACCAUUGAAACAUACACUUGGUGUUUUAAAAGGCCAAUUGCACAACACUGAAAAUAAUUGUGAGCCAAAUCAGUUGGGAGGAAGAAAUUAAUCAAUGGAUGAUAAUUAGGAAUUGUUUAAGAAUAUUUUAUUAGAGGACCAAAAUACCACAACUGAGAAAGAAGGCCGUAUUGGUUUUAAAACUGACCUGGUUCAGAGAGGAAGUGAAGGCUGCUAUAAAAAAUAACAAAUGGAAGAAAGGGGAAGUUGGUAGUAAUAAACAUAUCAGAAGAUAGGAACUGUAGAAAACUGAUAAGGGACGCAAAGCCACAAGUAGGAAUCUAUGGCCAGCAGAGUUAAGGACAUUAAGAAGGAGUUUUCAAACGUAUAUUAGGAACAAAAAGAGUCUUAACAAUGGUAUUGGUUCAUUACUAGAUGGAAAUAGUAGAAUUAUCAAUACUAAUGCAGAAAAGACAAAAGUGUUCAGUAAA
Molecule: non-coding RNA, 5924 nt
Organism: Caretta caretta (loggerhead turtle)
Lineage: Eukaryota; Metazoa; Chordata; Testudines; Cheloniidae
Source: RefSeq, a predicted model, not a curated record